CACAGGUGGUCGGGUAGAGAAUACCAAGGCGCUUGAGAGAACUCGGGUGAAGGAACUAGGCAAAAUGGUACCGUAACUUCGGGAGAAGGUACGCUCUUGAUGGUGAAGUCCCUCGCGGAUGGAGCUGACGAGAGUCGCAGAUACCAGGUGGCUGCAACUGUUUAUUAAAAACACAGCACUGUGCAAAAUCGCAAGAUGACGUAUACGGUGUGACGCCUGCCCGGUGCCGGAAGGUUAAUUGAUGGGGUUAGCGCAAGCGAAGCUCUUGAUCGAAGCCCCGGUAAACGGCGGCCGUAACUAUAACGGUCCUAAGGUAGCGAAAUUCCUUGUCGGGUAAGUUCCGACCUGCACGAAUGGCGUAAUGAUGGCCACGCUGUCUCCACCCGAGACUCAGUGAAAUUGAAAUCGCUGUGAAGAUGCAGUGUACCCGCGGCUAGACGGAAAGACCCCGUGAACCUUUACUACAGCUUGGCACUGAACAUUGAACCUACAUGUGUAGGAUAGGUGGGAGGCUAUGAAGACGUGACGCCAGUUGCGUUGGAGCCGUCCUUGAAAUACCACCCUUGUAUGUUUGAUGUUCUAACUUAGACCCGUUAUCCGGGUUGAGGACAGUGCCUGGUGGGUAGUUUGACUGGGGCGGUCUCCUCCCAAAGAGUAACGGAGGAGCACGAAGGUGGGCUAAUCACGGUUGGACAUCGUGAGGUUAGUGCAAUGGCAUAAGCCCGCUUAACUGCGAGAAUGACGGUUCGAGCAGGUGCGAAAGCAGGUCAUAGUGAUCCGGUGGUUCUGUAUGGAAGGGCCAUCGCUCAACGGAUAAAAGGUACUCCGGGGAUAACAGGCUGAUACCGCCCAAGAGUUCAUAUCGACGGCGGUGUUUGGCACCUCGAUGUCGGCUCAUCACAUCCUGGGGCUGAAGUCGGUCCCAAGGGUAUGGCUGUUCGCCAUUUAAAGUGGUACGCGAGCUGGGUUUAGAACGUCGUGAGACAGUUCGGUCCCUAUCUGCCGUGGGCGUUGGAAGAUUGAAGGGGGCUGCUCCUAGUACGAGAGGACCGGAGUGGACGAACCUCUGGUGUUCGGGUUGUGUCGCCAGACGCAUUGCCCGGUAGCUAAGUUCGGAAUUGAUAAGCGCUGAAAGCAUCUAAGCGCGAAGCGAGCCCUGAGAUGAGUCUUCCCUGAUACUUUAAGUAUCCUAAAGGGUUGUUCGAGACUAGAACGUUGAUAGGCAGGGUGUGUAAGCGUUGUGAGGCGUUGAGCUAACCUGUACUAAUUGCCCGUGAGGCUUAACCAUACAACACCCA
RNAcentral lists this ribosomal RNA (1298 nucleotides) under Vibrio cholerae. RNAcentral describes it as "partial 23S ribosomal RNA". It matches the Rfam family "Bacterial large subunit ribosomal RNA", at positions 1658 to 2925 of the family's 2925-position model. Lineage: Bacteria; Pseudomonadati; Pseudomonadota; Gammaproteobacteria; Vibrionales; Vibrionaceae. The record is from RNAcentral.